This 92-nucleotide transfer RNA is filed under the name Xylophilus rhododendri. Its description in RNAcentral is "Xylophilus sp. KACC 21265 tRNA-Leu". It matches the Rfam family "tRNA". From Rfam's summary of the family: Transfer RNA (tRNA) molecules are approximately 80 nucleotides in length. Their secondary structure includes four short double-helical elements and three loops (D, anti-codon, and T loops). Lineage: Bacteria; Pseudomonadati; Pseudomonadota; Betaproteobacteria; Burkholderiales. The record is from RNAcentral.
GCCUCGAUGGUGGAAUAGGUAGACACAGCGGACUUAAAAUCCGCCGCAUCCUUAAUCGGAGCGUACCGGUUCGAUUCCGGUUCGAGGCACCA